Ruditapes philippinarum (Manila clam) is the source of this 231-nucleotide long non-coding RNA. RefSeq lists it as uncharacterized. The record is from RefSeq and is a predicted model, not a curated record. The transcript has 2 exons. Lineage: Eukaryota; Metazoa; Mollusca; Bivalvia; Venerida; Veneridae.
CGGUGAUUCGCAGCAUGUCAUAUUAUUGAAUGAGAACCGGAAAGCAGUUCUGCUGUUACAUAAAUUCGAAAGCUAUAAAUAGCCAUAAAUGUUACUUCGGUUAUAAAUUUGUUAUUUCCCUUUUUUAGUAGUACAUGAAAUUAUAAUUUGUUACAUUUUGAAUUACAUUUACACACAGCAUAUCAAGAAUACUAUAAGUGAUUGAAUUUGUCAAUAUAAAGAAGAUUUCAG